Molecule: long non-coding RNA, 1499 nt
Organism: Nomascus leucogenys (northern white-cheeked gibbon)
Lineage: Eukaryota; Metazoa; Chordata; Mammalia; Primates; Hylobatidae
Exons: 3
Source: RefSeq, a predicted model, not a curated record
GCACACGUGUAAAAAGUGGAGAGUAGUAGGCACAGGUGUAAAAAGGGGAGAUUUCAGAAGACGGGCAAGACAACUGAUGGGGGAAGAUACUUGGGGUGUGAAGAUGAGAAAGAAACAAUGCUGAGGGACCUAGUGAAAUCAAUGAAACUCUCGAGUCUUGCUUAGGCUCGCAAAUAAGAAGUGGGGAGGCUUGGGAAAUUAGGAUAUGACACAUAUGAAAGGUUUAUCUAAGAAGAAAGAAACAGAGAUAAUAUAUAUAUAGAAAGAUGUAUAUAGAUGUAUAUAUGCCCAAAUAUAUUGAAUGUACAGAAGGGAAAUAUUCAGAGACUUUAGCAUUGGGGGCAGAUAUCUUGGCCUGGUUAUGGGGUAGGACACCCAGAUUUCCAGACUUACAAUCAGUGGUCCUGGUUUCAACAUGGAAGUGAGAUAGAUCAUGAAGGAUUUCAAGUCUGGAAAUGGGAAAGGGAGGGGUAGAAGUUCCUUUUCAGAAAUAAAGAGGCAUUCAUGAAGGCUUUUGUUGAAUCCUAUGCUACUGAUAGGACCAGGAAGAGAGGAACUCGGAGGACAAUAGGGAGGGGAAAUCUUGGAAAAUCUACCACUUACACUGUGUGCCCCCAUCCCCAGCAGAGUCCUGCCACUGUAGCGCCUUUUUAAAAUAAAUAAAAUAAAAUAAAAUAAAAUAAAAUAAAAUAAAGUAAAGCACCCUUUGGUUUCCCUUUCAUGAAGUACACUGUAUUUCCCCGUCUUCCACAGGGGUGGGAGCUGCUAUUGCUCUAGCCCCUGAAAUCAAACUCAGGAGCUGAACACCUUGGUGUAUGGGAGGCACUAAUGGGAAGCCUCAACCCUGGAAUCCAAACGCCAGGACUAAUAGCUGUUGGGCUCAAGAUCUCCCAAGGUUGAGGCCCAGCCUUUUGUGUGGCUGCAAGCAUCCCAAAGAGAAAGCCAUGGAUUCCAGAAGAGUUCCAAUCCUGGCAUUUGGGCAUGGAGGGUGAUGCUUUGGUUUUGAUGCUUCUGAAUGAAAAUGAGGAGUGGGGUUACCAGCUGCUCUAGGGGGAUGGUGAAGUUCCAUGAGAAGCUUCCAAAAUCUCUGCAAUGUGCUUCACCCCAUUAUUCCCCCAACCCCUGUCAGCCUAAUAAAAUCAUCCAGGAGUUUCCCUAUAAGGUCUGAGCAGAGAAAGGAAGCCAGUUAUACUAUUGCUACAAGUCCAGGACACUGUGCCCUCCCCACGGCUGCUGCCCUGGUCCUUUAUUCUUGCUAGCUAACCUAGUUCACUUGUACAGUAACACACUACCUUUACUGGAAAGAUAGCAUGGGUCUCCAGGCUCAGUAAUGGCCAACUCUACUGAUGCAGAAGUAUUUAGGGAUGUUUUUUCCAUUCAUUGCACUAAAGACUAAACCAGGUCAAAUUUAUCUAGGAAAAAAAGGUGUGUAAGAUUUGUUUUGUUUUUGUCUGUUAAGAAUAAGCUACUAAAUAAAAUGGAUGACUCUUUGGUUGUCA